UCAAGCUACAAAGAGCACAGGGCGGAUGCCUUGGCGCCUAAAGCCGAAGAAGGACGUGACAAGCUGCGAAAAGCUGCGGGGAGCUGCAAAUAAGCAUAGAGCCGCAGAUAUCCGAAUGAGGGAACUCAGCGGUAGGGAACUGCCGUUACCACAAGUUGAAUACAUAGACUUGUAGGAGGGGACCCGGGGAAGUGAAACAUCUAAGUACCCGGAGGAAGAGAAAGAAAGAUCGAUUUUCAAAGUAGCGGCGAGCGAAAUGGAAAGAGCCCAAACCAAUUAGUUUACUAUUUGGGGUUGUGGGUCAGCGACAAGUAGACGGAAGCUAAUCGAAUGAGUUGGAAAGCUCAACCAAAGAAUGUGAAAGUCAAGUAGAUGAAAGCGGAAGAAAGCGAGCUGAUACCGGAGUACCACAGGACACGAGAAAUCCGGUGGGAAUCAGGGAGGACCACCUCCCAAGGCUAAAUACAAAUAGGCGACCGAUAGCGAAUAGUACCGUGAGGGAAAGGUGAAAAGUACCCCGGGAGGGGAGUGAAAGAGAACCUGAAACCCUGUGUUUACAAGCAGAGAAAGCACAAUAGAUGUGCGAUCUCGUACUUUUUGUAGAACGGACCGGCGAGUUACGUUAUGCAGCGAGGUUAAAUACUAAAGGUAUGGAGCCGAAGCGAAAGCGAGUUUGAAAAGAGCGUUAAGUUGCAUGAAGUAGACCCGAAACCGGGUGACCUAUCCAUGAGCAGGUUGAAGAGGGAGUAAAAUCCUUUGGAGGACCGAACCAGACAUCUGUUGAAAAAGGUGGGGAUGACUUGUGGAUAGCGGAGAAAUUCCAAUCGAACCCGGAUAUAGCUGGUUCUCCUCGAAAUAGCUUUAGGGCUAGCCUCAUAGUAAGAUUAUCGGAGGUAGAGCACUGAAUGGGCACGGGGGUCCAAAGCCUACCAACCCCUAUCAAACUGCGAAUGCCGAAUAAUUAAUAUAUGGGAGUCAGUCCAUGAGAGAUAAGUUCCAUGGGCGAAAGGGAAACAACCCAGACCAACCGCUAAGGUCCCAAAGUACAAGUUAAGUGGUAAAGGAUGUGCAAGUGCAUAGACAACCAGGAUGUUGGCUUAGAAGCAGCCACACAUUUAAAGAGUGCGUAAUAGCUCACUGGUCGAGUGCCUGUGCGCCGAAGAUAAACGGGGCUGAAACUUGACACCGAAGCGAUGGACUAGAGAUAGUGGUAGAGGAGCAUUGUAUGCGGGCAGAAGCAUAACUGAGAAGAUAUGUGGACUGCAUAGAAGAGAGAAUGCCGGUAUGAGUAGCGAGAGGGAUGCGAGAAACAUCCCCGUCGAAAGCCCAAGGUUUCCUGGGGAAGGUUCAUCCACCCAGGGUAAGUCGGGGCCUAAGCCGAGGACAGAAGUCAUAGGCGAUGGACAGCAGGUUUAGAUUCCUGCACUACCAUAGGAAUGAAGCAGUGACACAGAAGGAUAGCUUAAGCAGGGUGAUGGUCAACUCUGUACUUGAAGCGAGGCUGAGAGAUAGUCAAGUACGUCUCUCGUGAAGGCUGAGCAAAGAGGGGAUCCGAAUUAAGUAGGAGAAGUAAGUGAAUUCACGCUGGCGAGAAAAGCUGCUAGUAUAUCCGAAAGGUACCCGUACCGCAAACCGACGCAGGUGGGCGAGAAGAGAAUUCUAAGACGAACGGGAGAACCCUUGUUAAGGAACUCGGCAAAAUGACCCCGUAACUUCGGGAGAAGGGGUGCCUAGGAGACUAGGCCGCAGAGAAUAGGCUCAAGCGACUGUUUAGCAAAAACACAGGUAUCUGCGAAAGAGAGAUCUGACGUAUAGGUGCUGACACCUGCCCGGUGCUGGAAGGUUAAGAGGAAAUGUUAGCGCAAGCGAAGCAUAGAAUUGAAGCCCCAGUAAACGGCGGCCGUAACUAUAACGGUCCUAAGGUAGCGAAAUUCCUUGUCGGGUAAGUUCCGACCCGCACGAAUGGUGUAACGA
RNAcentral lists this ribosomal RNA (1974 nucleotides) under human gut metagenome. RNAcentral describes it as "bacterial LSU rRNA". It matches the Rfam family "Bacterial large subunit ribosomal RNA", at positions 3 to 2007 of the family's 2925-position model. The record is from RNAcentral.